ACUCCCGUUCUUGGCAGGCCCCGGCUGCUCCGUGCCCGGGUCUGUCAUGUCCGGAGGUAGAGCAGCGCCUCUUUCACGGGCACCCCCUUGCCGUGGGGAAAGAG
RNAcentral lists this small nucleolar RNA (104 nucleotides) under Buceros rhinoceros silvestris. RNAcentral's name for it is "Small nucleolar RNA SNORA57". It matches the Rfam family "Small nucleolar RNA SNORA57". Rfam says of the family: U99 belongs to the H/ACA class of snoRNAs which are thought to guide the sites of modification of uridines to pseudouridines, the target for this family is unknown. Lineage: Eukaryota; Metazoa; Chordata; Aves; Bucerotiformes; Bucerotidae. The record is from Rfam by way of RNAcentral.